CCUACGGGAGGCAGCAGUGGGGAAUAUUGCACAAUGGGGGAAACCCUGAUCCAGCGACGCCGCGUGAGUGAAGAAGUAUUUCGGUACGUAAAGCUCUAUCAGCAGGGAAGAAAAUGACGGUACCUGACUAAGAAGCCCCGGCUAACUACGUGCCAGCAGCCGCGGUAAUACGUAGGGGGCAAGCGUUAUCCGGAUUUACUGGGUGUAAAGGGAGCGUAGACGGCAGCGCAAGUCUGGAGUGAAAUGCCGGGGCUCAACCCCGGAACUGCUCUGGAAACUGUGAAGCUGGAGUGCAGGAGAGGUAAGCGGAAUUCCUGGUGUAGCGGUGAAAUGCGUAGAUAUCAGGAGGAACACCAGCGGCGAAGGCGGCUUACUGGACUGUAACUGACGUUGAGGCUCGAAGGCGUGGGGAGCAAACAGGAUUAGAUACCCGAGUAGUC
RNAcentral lists this ribosomal RNA (440 nucleotides) under uncultured bacterium. Its description in RNAcentral is "partial 16S ribosomal RNA". It matches the Rfam family "Bacterial small subunit ribosomal RNA", at positions 338 to 795 of the family's 1533-position model. The record is from RNAcentral.